GGGUAAAAUUCCCUAAUCCCUUGAGGACCCCCAGUGGGGAAAGCGGUUUAGCAGAACCCUUUUGACGGUGAGGGAUGAAAACUGGGGGAACCAACCGGAUUAGAUUCCCGGGUAGUUCCAACUGUAAACGAUGCCAACUCGGUGUUGCUUUGACUUUUGGCCAAUUCCGUUCCGCAGGGAAACCGUUAAAUUUGCCCCCUUGGGAGUACGGUCGCAAGUUUGAAAAUUAAAGGAAUUGGCGGGGGAGCCCCACAAGGGGGAAGCAGCGGUUCAAUCGAGUCAAAGCCG
RNAcentral lists this ribosomal RNA (288 nucleotides) under uncultured archaeon. Its description in RNAcentral is "partial 16S ribosomal RNA". It matches the Rfam family "Archaeal small subunit ribosomal RNA", at positions 630 to 920 of the family's 1478-position model. The record is from RNAcentral.